CCCUUAGAUGUUCUGGGCUGCACGCGCGCUACACUGAAGCUAUCAACACGUUUUCCCUCCCUGAGAAGGGCGGGUAACCUUUUGAAUCAGCUUCGUGGUAGGGAUCGGGGCUUGCAAUUGUUCCCCGUGAACCAUGAAUUCCUAGUAGACGCGAGUCAUAAGCUCGCAUCGAUUAAGUCCCUGCCCUUUGUACACACCGCCCGUCGCUACUACCGAUUGAACGUUUUAGUGAGGCAUUUGGACCGACGCAUCUCAGUUUAACCGCUGGUUUGUGUUGGAAAGACUUCCAAACUUGAGCGUUUAGAGGAAGUAAAAGUCGUAACA
RNAcentral lists this ribosomal RNA (324 nucleotides) under uncultured eukaryote. RNAcentral's name for it is "partial 18S ribosomal RNA". It matches the Rfam family "Eukaryotic small subunit ribosomal RNA", at positions 1470 to 1796 of the family's 1831-position model. The record is from RNAcentral.